RNAcentral lists this ribosomal RNA (497 nucleotides) under uncultured bacterium. RNAcentral's name for it is "partial 16S ribosomal RNA". It matches the Rfam family "Bacterial small subunit ribosomal RNA", at positions 28 to 507 of the family's 1533-position model. The record is from RNAcentral.
GAUGAACGCUGGCGGCGUGCCUAAUACAUGCAAGUCGAGCGAACAGACGAGGAGCUUGCUCCUCUGACGUUAGCGGCGGACGGGUGAGUAACACGUGGAUAACCUACCUAUAAGACUGGGAUAACUUCGGGAAACCGGAGCUAAUACCGGAUAAUAUAUUGAACCGCAUGGUUCAAUAGUGAAAGACGGUUUUGCUGUCACUUAUAGAUGGAUCCGCGCCGCAUUAGCUAGUUGGUAAGGUAACGGCUUACCAAGGCAACGAUGCGUAGCCGACCUGAGAGGAUGAUCGGCCACACUGGAACUGAGACACGGUCCAGACUCCUACGGGAGGCAGCAGUAGGGAAUCUUCCGCAAUGGGCGAAAGCCUGACGGAGCAACGCCGCGUGAGUGAUGAAGGUCUUCGGAUCGUAAAACUCUGUUAUUAGGGAAGAACAAAUGUGUAAGUAACCAUGCACGUCUUGACGGUACCUAAUCAGAAAGCCACGGCUAACUACGUG